This 368-nucleotide unclassified non-coding RNA is filed under the name Geranium sp. BS0168. RNAcentral's name for it is "sequence contains ITS2". The stretch from base 1 to 84 matches the Rfam family "5.8S ribosomal RNA", at positions 73 to 154 of the family's 154-position model. Lineage: Eukaryota; Viridiplantae; Streptophyta; Magnoliopsida; Geraniales; Geraniaceae. The record is from RNAcentral.
UGCAGAAUCCCGUGAACCAUCGAGUUUUUGAACGCAAGUUGCGCCCGAAGCCAUUAGGCCGAGGGCACGCCUGCCUGGGCGUCACGCGCUCCGUCGCCCCGCAACCCCGAACCCCGAAACGGGCCAGGGUGCUUGUGGUGCGGAGAUUGGUCUCCCGUGUGCCUUGCUCGCGGCUGGCCUAAAAUUGAGUCCCGGGCGCUCUGUUCUGCGGCCGACGGUGGUUGAGAAGCCCUCGAAAUUGUGCUGCUGCAGUGCUGCCCGAUGUGGACCCUGUGACCCUUGCGCGACCUCUCCCCUUGGGGUGAGGGAGCUCCAUCUGAGACCCCAGGUCAGGCGGGGCUACCCGCUGAAUUUAAGCAUAUCAAUAA